CGAACGGGUGAGUAACACGUGAGUAACCUGCCCACAACUUUGGGAUAACGCUAGGAAACUGGUGCUAAUACUGGAUAUGUGCUCCUGCUGCAUGGUGGGGGUUGGAAAGCUCCGGCGGUUGUGGAUGGACUCGCGGCCUAUCAGCUUGUUGGUGGGGUAGUGGCUUACCAAGGCUUUGACGGGUAGCCGGCCUGAGAGGGUGACCGGCCACAUUGGGACUGAGAUACGGCCCAG
RNAcentral lists this ribosomal RNA (234 nucleotides) under uncultured Actinomycetales bacterium. RNAcentral describes it as "partial 16S ribosomal RNA". It matches the Rfam family "Bacterial small subunit ribosomal RNA", at positions 99 to 334 of the family's 1533-position model. The record is from RNAcentral. Lineage: Bacteria; Bacillati; Actinomycetota; Actinomycetes; Actinomycetales.